RNAcentral lists this ribosomal RNA (254 nucleotides) under uncultured bacterium. RNAcentral's name for it is "partial 16S ribosomal RNA". It matches the Rfam family "Bacterial small subunit ribosomal RNA", at positions 524 to 776 of the family's 1533-position model. The record is from RNAcentral.
UACGGGGGGAGCAAGCGUUGUUCGGAUUUACUGGGCGUAAAGGGCGCGUAGGCGGCCACCGCAAGUCGACUGUGAAAUCUCCGGGCUUAACCCGGAAAGGUCAGCCGAUACUGCGGGGCUAGAGUGCAGAAGGGGCAACUGGAAUUCUCGGUGUAGCGGUGAAAUGCGUGGAUAUCGAGAGGAACACCUGCGGCGAAGGCGGGUUGCUGGGCUGACACUGACGCUGAUGCGCGAAAGCUAGGGGAGCGAACGGG